GUGAUCGACGACGACGAGAUGGCUCACUUUAUUCUAAACGGUCUUGAUUUUGAGUAUAAUCCGUUUGUGUCAUCUAUGCUUGGUCGCGUUGGAUCUGUUUCUUUGAGUGAAUUAUACUCUCAGCUCUUAGCCUAUGAUA
Molecule: small nucleolar RNA, 139 nt
Filed under: Setaria italica (foxtail millet)
Lineage: Eukaryota; Viridiplantae; Streptophyta; Magnoliopsida; Poales; Poaceae
Also listed under: 1 other name
Description: Small nucleolar RNA Z247
Rfam family: Small nucleolar RNA Z247
About the family: Z247 is a member of the C/D class of snoRNA which contain the C (UGAUGA) and D (CUGA) box motifs.
Source: Rfam by way of RNAcentral